Girardinichthys multiradiatus is the source of this 249-nucleotide long non-coding RNA. RefSeq lists it as uncharacterized. The transcript is spliced from 3 exons. Lineage: Eukaryota; Metazoa; Chordata; Actinopteri; Cyprinodontiformes; Goodeidae. The record is from RefSeq and is a predicted model, not a curated record.
GCCGUUUCCUCCAAGAGACUCAAAUGUGCAGCUUAUUCCCGAAUAUCUCAGCGACCAGGAUGUACGUUUCUAGCAUGGCUCGCUCCGACAACAUAAUUUAACGAGAGGCGUAAACCCGAAUGAUGACGUUGGAGGGGUCAGCGGCUGGAAUCAACCUUCCCCCCCGAGAUUCCCCCAAAGAUGCAACCCUGAAGCCGCCCACCAGAAAGUCACUUUUCAAAGAUCAAGACAGCGUUCAACACAAGAGCA